UGAAUUAAGUGCCAUAAGUCACAGGAAGAUGUAUGUCACUUGCGGAGGCACGUGCAAUGUGUUUUCAUAUAUAAAUUGGGACACAUGGCUGUUUAUCCACUCAAGUGUCUCGCUGUGAAUGAGAAUAUCCACCAGGCUUUGUAGAAUAUGGAACCAAUAGAUGGAUUUCCAGUGAGCUCUUCAAAGAUGAGUCUCCCGUGGCUGCGAACUGAUCAUGUUAGAAAACAAGGCAGAAAUGCAGCGUGAGCUAUCCAAACAUAUGAGAGUUCCAUUAAUAAAAGAUGUGCACUCUGAAGCAAUCACAGUCAUGCUGAUCCUCAGGCAGCCAUUGAUUCCAGCCAUCUCAAGUGGGGCAUAAUUAGUCUUGUGAAUUAAAUAUGAAAUAGUAGUACGUCAUUGAGAGCUCCUCUGAAGAUAACCUCCAUCCCUCCUGAUCUCCUUCACUUUGCCCCAGUCACUGCCAUACUUAAACAGCAUGUUCCCUUGUCUCGGUCACUAUACCCACUCUCUUUGUGUCUUUUGUGGGUUGCUGUCUCCAAAAGCACCCUCAGCAGGCUUGCCCAGUUCCCCACCAUGCAGCAACCACAUCUGUCAGAGAGGCUCCACGGGGCUCAGCAUCCACCUGCAGAGUUCUGCCUCCUCCUCCCCUGUCAGUCAGUCAUCAGUAUUCUCUCUUCAUCUCUUCCUUGCAUGCUCUGUCGUUCCCCCUCUUUCACUUCUCCUCAGCCGUGGCAUAAAUUGAGCCGCACUGAGGCAUUCCUCUGACAGAUAUGGUGCAAUCUGCCUUCUGGUGCAGAACAUCCCCUCUUUAUCUGAAAUGUAUUGACAUGCGGAGCAGCACGCAGACAACAUGCAUGACAACUGUCGAAUCAUUUGACAUUGUUCAGUUAGUGAUGCUUUGUUAAACAUACAACACAAAGAACCAUUUUGACACUAUCUGACUUGUGCUGGGAAACCUGUUAAAUAAUCAUGUCUUUCAUGGCAAAAAUCAGUUAUCAUGUUAACAAUAAUGGAUAAUUGUAUCUGAAUAGCGUUUGAAUAAAAUGAGUAGCGGUAUUAAAUUUCUUUUUGUGCCUUGUGUUCUGGGCUUAUAUAUAUAUAUAUAGGGGGAGACCGUGUAUAGUUGUAACACUUUUUGUUUCACAUCUGUAACUCGCUGAAUUUUUUAGCUAGAGUGCUCAAACUUUUAUACAGAGUACCCACAUUUGUUCACUACAAAAGGCACCAAUUCAAACCUCUGCAAGUUUAUCACAGCCCUUAUAAGUUGAUGUCAAAUACAUGGAGUGCCUUCGUUAAAAUUUACCCCACUACCGGGGUAGGUUGUAACACAUACUGGGAAGAACUGUAACAGUCAGACAAAAGAAGCAAAAACAGCAGCCGCCUCACGAAGUUUGCUUCAAAAACAGGUUUACUGAAACAAGCUAAAAUAACUAUGCAAAACAAUGUCACACUUACGAUGAAUGACCACAGCUCAAAUCCACUUUCUGUUUGUGUGUGUGUAUAUGUGUGUAAAUUAGACUAGUAGAACAAACCUCCUUAAUGGUAUUAAUGCUUACUGAACACUCAACUGCAGUGUACCGAGGUAAAGAAUAUGUAGAUGUAACAAAAAACUGUAAAUUUGUGUGUAAGAUUGUGUCUAUGUAUGAAUUUUCUCAAUCAGAGUCACAAUGGUGACAAACCAAUGUUUUUAACCCUAGAGUGCAGACUUGGUGGAUUCAGAAACUGCACAGGGCACAUUUUUACCCACAUUUCCUUUGACUUUGAGCUGCCAAAAAGCUCCAUAUAGACAACAUGAAAGUUCUCAGUUCUAUGUAAGGGAAUGGUAAAAUGUGUUACAACUUACCCCACCCCGUCAUCCAAUGUUUAGUUAGCUAUAUUAGCAUUAUGGUUUGAAAUUAGUGGUUUAAAAAUGCAUCACAUUUUGCCUGAGAAUCUACAAUUUACUCUAAUGUAAGUUAUAUGAUUUUAAAUGCAACAAUUUAAGUACUAAGUAAAAUAUAGUUUUGGUCAAAAAAAAAAAAAAUUGUGCAUCAAAAUUAGUUUUUUCUUUAUAAAAUCUGCAUAUACCUACAGCACUGACAACCCUUCAUAUAAGAUAAGGGUGGAAGUGGGUAAAUAAUGAAAUUAUCAUAUGAAUAAUCCAGAGGUUCAAUGGAAGUUAAGGUCAAUGGACAGCAUAAUAUUGAUUAUUACAAAUAUCAUUUUGACUCAUUCCUUUUUUUUUAAGAAAACAAAGUGGAGGUGGGCACUUACAGUGGGUAUAGAAAAUAAUAACCCCCCCCGCCCCAACCAGCAGGUACAAGGUCACAAAUGAGAGCGAAUAAAUCCAAGUGUCAGGGAAGAGGUGAAUGAGGUGGUUGUAUGUGUGGGUGAUCAUAUUUAGCAGAGAGUGGGAUCAGGAGAGUGUGGGCGGAAGUGACAAGAGAGGAGAGAAAGUGACAAGGGAAGUAUGAGGGAUUGGCAUUGCCAACGAGAGCUGAAAGCCAAUCGGUGUGAGGUGAAUCAUAGUGAACAAAACUACACGACGACAGGCUGCAUGUUGGGCAAACACGCACGCCAUUCUCAAUUUUCAUUCUGUGUAUGCCUAGUUGCUGCUUAACUCUAUUUUACAUUCAGAAAAUCCGGAUAUGAGACAUAUCUUUACUGCUGAAUAAGGGAAUACUGGAUUUGACUUCUGGUUGCAAUGACAAAUCAGGAUGCCCAGGGCGACAGAAACAAGAAAUCAUUUAACAAUCUGGUUUUGAAAGCUCCUAAAAAAUCAUUUUGUUGGUUUUAUUUAAUUUUUUUUUGUAAAAUAUAUUUAAUUUAGAAGUUGCCUAUAUACAGUAUGAAUGAGUUAUUUACAAAUUCAAAAAUGGUUUUCAACAUUGCACUACACACUGACUUUCAUUUGGCAGACAAAAGUUCUUUUCUUUUUCUUUUCUUCUUUUUCCCCUCUUUUCAAUACUUAAAUGCUUAAAGGUUUACGAAAUAAUAAUAAAUUAUCCCCACCCACUGUAUACUAAAUUCAGAACAUUUUUUCCAAUAGUUGGAGAACCUUAAUAAAAAGACGUUCUUUCUUUUUUCUUUUUGCAAUCUCUAUACAGAUACACUACUUAGACAUGUUUUACUUUAAGUAAACAUAUCAACAAAACAUAUCAAAAUUAAAUUUAGUUCUUAUGUACUGAUUCACUAUACAGAUACACUGCUGUAUAACCUGCAUUGGACAACUGUUCAGGAGACUGAUAUUAAACUACUACUGUAGUUCACCCAAAGUUUUUUUUUUUUUUUAAUUUUCACCCUCAUGCCAUUCCAAACUAGUUGUUUUUUUUUCUUUAGUGGGACAUAAAAGAAGAUAUUUUGAGAAAUGUCUGUUUUGUCCAUAUAUUGGAAGACAAAAGUCACCUAAAAUGUUUAGUUACCAGUAUUCUUCAAAAUAAAUUUCUUGUAUUUCACAGAAGAAAGAAAUCAUAGGUUUGGACCGACACAAGGGUGAGUGAUUGAUUACAGAAUGUUCAUUUUCAAGGUGAACAAUCCCUUUAAGAAAUGGUAUUUUCCGCCCAGAUGGCUUAAUCUCACUAUGUUAGCGCUGCGAUUCGUGAAUAAUUGAAAUAUAAAGAAUUUUCUCCGUAUCAUCUUUGGACCCGAGUCGUGAAGGUCUUUACGCAUUUUCUGUGUGACCCUCUCUAUCCAGCGCGCGCAGCCCGUUGACUGCAUGUCCUCGGUGACGUCAUACAGCACGUCCGAACGCGUUGCUGCUGAUGUUUUUCAAUGAAUGAGAUCCCCCUCCCAUCCGCAUUACUAUCACUACAGGCUGUCUAUAAAUUGCGAACGAUGGGAGAACCUGUUAAAUUUCACAAGAGUGAGUGGAUACAUCCAGCGCAAGACGUUACACUUGCCAUUCAACAUAAUUUCUCAUCAGCAGACAAGAAUUAUGCACUGAUACCAGCUGAGAAGUUUCUUGAGUUGAAUUUGGACUGCUUUAAUACGAGGCUCAGAAAAAACAAGACAUAAUAGUAAAUACAUGGAAAUAAUACAACGCGUCCAAGGUCAGUGCAUCAAUACCUUGGCUCUAGACUGCUUACUGCUAAAUGUGCGUGAAAGUACAGUAACAGUCUACAGUCAUGGCUACUGACGUCUGGCAACCAUCCACAGACUAUUCAACUGCUGAAAGAAUACAGAGAACCUUGUAAAGUCCACAUGGGCCUGGUUAGUACAGCUUUAAGAGCGCUGAGCAGGAAUCUGUGUCAUCUACCCUGGAAACCCCUGUGCUGAAUAUGUGGGCUGUGUCGUAGCCGGCCAGCCAAUCAGGUUAGCUCGUCUACAGUUUCCACUGCAAACCCUUCUUUCCUCUCUUGCUGUCUCCAUGGCGACCGUGGCAUUAGAUUGUUACUGUAGCAACAGUACUUCUGGUAACAGUCUACAGCCAUGGUCGCUAUGGGACAGAAACUUCAGCAUCUCACUCAUCCAUUCUCUAAAUGUUUUAUAAGCCACAAAUCGUCUCAGUCUUGAUACAAAUGUAUUAUUUUUAAUUGAAGUUAUUUCUUUUUCUGUAUUUUUUUCUGAAUUCUGUAUUUUAUUUUAUUAUCAUUCUUAUUUUUUUAAAUGUAUUUUAUUAGUGCAUUACUAAAUUCACACCAGGGUAAUUUUUGCAUUAUUUAUUUAUUUAAUACUACAUAUAGAUAUAGAUAUAUUUUAGAUAUAUUUUAAAUUAACUAGCAUUGAUCAAUGGAAAUGUCUCUUUUGAUGAAUUUUUUUUUUUUUUUUUGGUGAUAUGAAAGUACUUAUUUCUGAGUGCAUAUUAAGUAGUACCCCAUUCUUGGUCCUCACUAUCAUGUAAUGUCAUAUUGCAUUAUGCUAUUUGUAUUAAUUUGCAAUUUGUAUUAAUUACUUUAAAUUCCAUCACUUAAUAAAAAUCUGUUGAAUUAUAUUUUUCAGGCCUUUGGCAUUCUAUUUUCAUCAUACUUAGGAAUGCCCUAAAUUUAAUUUUACAUAUUAAUUAGGAUGGGUAGUGUGAGAAUUGGGACACAGCCAGAGUAAUCACUUGAGCUUUCAUCUUCUGCCUGUGCUAUAUUUUGCUGUAUAUUUAGCUACAGUAAAAUAUAUGUUAACUCAAAUGCCAAACAUUAACUCCUUAGAUCUGGAGUCAUAUUUUUAUGUUAAGUUCUGGCAACCACAGCACACAUUUAUUUACUAUGAAUUUAGAUCUUUAGAGUAUCUAAAUAAAAUACUACUUGUUUGUCAGUUGUUAAAUGAAAAAAAAAGUGCAAGAGUAAAUUAGACUCUGGUCCUGAAGGGAGACUGUCCUGCAUCAAACACAUUUCAGCAAUCUAAUCAAAGAUGACAGAAAACAAAACAAAACAAAAACAGACAGGUGUGUUUGUUUAGGGCUAGAAGUAAAAUCUGUGGGACAGUGGCCUUCCAGGAGCACAGUUGAGUUGCCUGGUCCAGUGUUGGUCAGAGAUUAUGGAAAUAACUAUAUGAAGCAUUGAGAUUAGUUUAAAUCAGGCCAAUUAUCAGACCUCUACCUCUACUAAAACAAUAUUACAAUGACUUGGAUUAUUAAACAAUAUUACAUACUGUAUAUCGGGCUCUUACAUAUUAUAUUAAUAUUGGCCAUAACCACGUUAUCUGAAUAUUUAUUGUCUAUUCUCUUUUUCAUAUGAACAAUGUAUAUAAUAUUCGUAAUGCAAGUGAAUUGUUUAUAUGUUUUUGUAAAAACUAUAGUGCAAUGUAUAAAAUACAUGGUUAUAAUAAAUAAAGUAUUUUCAUCAAGUAAUUUCUCUUUUGUUAAUGAAAUUUUAAGUGAUUAAUUUGUACACGUAGGUAAGUGGUAUAUAAAUCAUAAUGACUUCCUGUGAAGCAAAUGUCAAAAUGAUGCCCAGAACACACACACACAGACACACACAUGCUGUUUACUGAGACUUUCCGUAGACGUACAUUUUUUUUUUAUUUUUUAUAUUGAGCUAAUCAAAUAUUCUACCCCCUAAACAUAGCCUGCAUAGAGGUAGCAAUUUUUUGAACACUGUUUAGUAUGUUUUUGAAGCCAUUUGGUUUAUGACAACACAAUUGUUUGUGUGUGUGUAUACAAGCACCCACACAAACACACAUUCACAUGCACACAAAACCGUGAGUUGUUUUUGAAUGUGUUUUAAUAAUAAAUGUGAAUCAUCUUACAAAAUUCUUUCUGGGAAAGGGGACAUUAAAUAGCAUUUCAGUAAUACUAAAAAAUAAGUAUUUUGGUCUA
Molecule: long non-coding RNA, 6226 nt
Organism: Cyprinus carpio carpio
Lineage: Eukaryota; Metazoa; Chordata; Actinopteri; Cypriniformes; Cyprinidae
Source: Ensembl